This is a long non-coding RNA of Crotalus tigris (Tiger rattlesnake), 459 nucleotides long. RefSeq lists it as uncharacterized. Lineage: Eukaryota; Metazoa; Chordata; Lepidosauria; Squamata; Viperidae. The transcript has 3 exons. The record is from RefSeq and is a predicted model, not a curated record.
CCCAGCUUUGCUGUCAGGCGUCCAAAUAAUUGUCCUUAACCAUGUCAACCAGACAAACACAGCUGCUGACUUGCGUCACAUGCUGAUUAUGUUUAUUUACAGCUUAGUUUGAGCAGUAGUGCAAAUCUAACUCAUUGGUCCAGCUUAUGGUUCAAUGUAGAGAGAGUGACGACGAUGAGGAGUUUAAUUUGACCUAACAAAACAACUACAAGAGAACUGUAGUUGCAGCGGAAAAAUAUUUUACUUAGUACUGAGGAUCAAGCAAAUUCUUGGACAGAGUUGAGAUACGCUUCGCCUAUAAAAGGAACAAGGUUAAUAGCAAAGCUUUUAUCGUUGUGCUCCAGGGCAUCCAAGAGGCCUCCAGGCUGCCUUCUGGAAGAGGAUGAUGGUCCCUGCUCAUAGGCCAUGUACGCCCCGGCCUCUCCGUUACCUGAGACAAGAAACAGAGCCUGAUAAAUA